RNAcentral lists this unclassified non-coding RNA (178 nucleotides) under uncultured Ascomycota. Its description in RNAcentral is "sequence contains ITS1". Lineage: Eukaryota; Fungi; Ascomycota. The record is from RNAcentral.
CCAUUCGCGCGUUGCUUCCCUCCGGGGACAACCCGCGUCGGUGCCUUCGGGUGCCCACACACUUGCCUAUGCGAUACCUGUUUGCGCUUCCUCGGCGGGCCCUCCGCCCGCCGCUGGAGCCGAUACCAAACCCUUUUGCAUCUAGAAUCUACACUUCUGAUACCAAACACAAUCGUUA